This 430-nucleotide ribosomal RNA is filed under the name uncultured bacterium. Its description in RNAcentral is "partial 16S ribosomal RNA". It matches the Rfam family "Bacterial small subunit ribosomal RNA", at positions 354 to 796 of the family's 1533-position model. The record is from RNAcentral.
GUGGGGAAUAUUGGACAAUGGGCGAAAGCCUGAUCCAGCAACGCCGCGUGAGGGAUGACGGCCUUCGGGUUGUAAACCUCUUUCAGCAGGGACGAAGCGAAAGUGACGGUACCUGCAGAAGAAGGACCGGCCAACUACGUGCCAGCAGCCGCGGUAAUACGUAGGGUCCGAGCGUUGUCCGGAAUUAUUGGGCGUAAAGGGCUCGUAGGCGGUCUGUCGCGUCGGGAGUGAAAACUCAGGGCUCAACCCUGAGCGUGCUUCCGAUACGGGCAGACUAUAGGUAUGCAGGGGAGAACGGAAUUCCUGGUGUAGCGGUGGAAUGCGCAGAUAUCAGGAGGAACACCAGUGGCGAAGGCGGUUCUCUGGGCAUUACCUGACGCUGAGGAGCGAAAGCAUGGGGAGCGAACAGGAUUAGAUACCCCAGUAGUCC